GAGUUUGAUCCUGGCUCAGAUUGAACGCUGGCGGCAUGCCUUACACAUGCAAGUCGAACGGCAGCAUGAUCUAGCUUGCUAAAUUGAUGGCGAGUGGCGAACGGGUGAGUAAUACGAUCGGAACGUGCCCUGUAGUGGGGGAUAACUAGUCGAAAGAUUAGCUAAUACCGCAUACGACCUGAGGGUGAAAGUGGGGGACCGCAAGGCCUCAUGCUAUAGGAGCGGCCGAUGUCUGAUUAGCUAGUUGGU
This 249-nucleotide ribosomal RNA is filed under the name uncultured microorganism. RNAcentral describes it as "partial 16S ribosomal RNA". It matches the Rfam family "Bacterial small subunit ribosomal RNA", at positions 9 to 253 of the family's 1533-position model. The record is from RNAcentral.